This 165-nucleotide ribosomal RNA is filed under the name Briza macrostachya. RNAcentral's name for it is "5.8S ribosomal RNA". It matches the Rfam family "5.8S ribosomal RNA". Rfam says of the family: 5.8S ribosomal RNA (5.8S rRNA) is a component of the large subunit of the eukaryotic ribosome. It is transcribed by RNA polymerase I as part of the 45S precursor that also contains 18S and 28S rRNA. Functionally, it is thought that 5.8S rRNA may be involved in ribosome translocation. The record is from RNAcentral. Lineage: Eukaryota; Viridiplantae; Streptophyta; Magnoliopsida; Poales; Poaceae.
UCUACACGACUCUCGGCAACGGAUAUCUCGGCUCUCGCAUCGAUGAAGAACGUAGCAAAAUGCGAUACCUGGUGUGAAUUGCAGAAUCCCGCGAACCAUCGAGUCUUUGAACGCAAGUUGCGCCCGAGGCCAUCUGGCCGAGGGCACGCCUGCCUGGGCGUCACG